Molecule: long non-coding RNA, 1796 nt
Filed under: Cotesia glomerata
Lineage: Eukaryota; Metazoa; Arthropoda; Insecta; Hymenoptera; Braconidae
Description: uncharacterized LOC123264085, transcript variant X2
Source: RNAcentral
UAAUGGCUUAAUAAAUUUUCAGGAAGACAUACCAAGGAACGUCCGACUGUUUGGCUUCCUCGGGGUUCCUUUCAUUGUUCUCUGGGUCGUUUACCUAUCAAUACAAUACAUGAAUAUUGAGAUUAACAUCCGACAAGUCUAAUAAUAAAUAAAACCUGAUGGAUAAUUUUAGAAACAUUUUUUAAAAUUAGUAUAAUAGAAUUAUAGGUGCAGUGUAUCAAUUUCCUGUGUGUAUAUGUAAGAAAAAAAUAGCAAUAAAUAAAAUAUGUAGACCAGGGUCAAAGUGUAUUUGGAACGAUGAUCGAAGGCUUCACCUCGCCCUGGAAUCAUCACGAUGUCAUCAACUACAACUAACCAUUGCCCUCAAUAUCCUGUACUAGUCCCUAGACAAUGAUACCAUUGUGAUAAAAGAUGAUGACAAGUAAGUGUUCCAAGAGAGAAAGAUAAUAAGAAUCGAAAGAAAAAAAGAACCAUAAUGAUUAUUGAUAAUUAAAUGAUCUUGAUGAAAAUCACGAUAAUGAUGAACAUAAGGAUUAUGCCAAUUAUCAACCUUUCAACAUUUUUGUUAUUAAUAAGUAUAAAAUUUAUGAACUUAUCAAUGCCAGCAGCACCAACAACAUCUCUAUAAUAAAAUAAUAGGAGCAAAAAAGGAAAUUGGACAAAUGAAAAUGUGCCAUUUUUAAACCAGUGGAAUUAAUUUUUUUUUUUUUUUUUUCUAUAAAAACGUCUCAAAUUAAACCCAGGAAAAAAAAGUUAAGUGGAGUAAGUAGGAAAUGAAAAAUGAAAAUUUUAAAUGAGUCGUAGAAUUCAUCAGAGACAGAGAUGGAUCAUACUAUUUUUCUCUCAGAGAAUAGUGCCUAGAUGACUUCCUGUGAGUUAGUGAGCCGAGAGAUAAUAUUAGGCGGAGGUUUUAAGUAUGAAGAACACGAGAUUGAAAGAGACAGUAAAAAUAAAAAUGAGUUAUAAGCACAAGCCUUAAAUGAAUAAAAAUAACAGUUGUUAAAUUUAUAUUUAUAUUUAUAUUUAUGUCUAUAUAAAUAUAUGUAUGAUGUGUCUAUCAUACAUAAAGCAAAGGAACGUGAGAUGAAAGACAAAAUCUUAACUUAAUCUUCAGUGGGUUUUCGAUUGUUCUAAAAGUGUAUUGUAACAUCAGUAAAUUUUCACAGUGUAGAAUGACAAUCAGAGUCAAUGCCUCUGAUAACGUAAUUCUCGUUAGAUGAACCCUUGCCUUAGAAUGAGGUGUUGCGUACAUAUUGCACCACGAGUGCAUAUCUCAUUGUCUCAUCUCUCUUUACUAUAUCAAUCAUAAAACCUCUUCUCUGAUGUAUCUACUCUACUUCCUACUCGACACUCGUAUAUCGGGGUAGACGUACCAGUUUAGUUGUGCUAAACAUAACAACUGGUCAAUUACAAUUUAUAUAUUAAACUCAUAUCAAAUUAUUUGCUAUUACAUCGCAACUUCAAUCAAAUUUUAUCAAGGGUGUUUAUUUAAUAAUAAAAAAAACUUAAAUUUAUUAUUGAGAUGUAUCUAUGCGGAGAAAUAUGAGAUGACAUGAGACGUAAAUAAAAUUAUAAAAAACCGCAUAUUUUACGUUGUCACAAAGUCCACGUGGUUAUUACAUGCGUAGAAAAAAUUAGUAAAUGAUAUUUAUACUAUAAUGAAUGAAUGUAUAAUUUUAUUGUAAAUAAGAUUUAAAUUAUUCAAGUUCCAGUCGUCCAAGACUAUCAACAAAGUUGAAAAAAUUUUUGAAUUAUACUAUACACGAAGAAGAAGAAAAAGAAGAAGAAGAAGAAGA